This 495-nucleotide ribosomal RNA is filed under the name uncultured bacterium. RNAcentral's name for it is "partial 16S ribosomal RNA". It matches the Rfam family "Bacterial small subunit ribosomal RNA", at positions 28 to 507 of the family's 1533-position model. The record is from RNAcentral.
GACGAACGCUGGCGGCGUGCCUAAUACAUGCAAGUAGAACGCUGAAGGAGGAGCUUGCUUCUCUGGAUGAGUUGCGAACGGGUGAGUAACGCGUAGGUAACCUGCCUCGUAGCGGGGGAUAACUAUUGGAAACGAUAGCUAAUACCGCAUAAUAGUAGAUGUUGCAUGACAUUUGCUUAAAAGGUGCAAUUGCAUCACUACCAGAUGGACCUGCGUUGUAUUAGCUAGUUGGUGGGGUAAUGGCUCACCAAGGCGACGAUACAUAGCCGACCUGGGAGGGGGGUCGGCCACACUGGGAAUGAGAAACGGCCCAGACUCCUACGGGGGGCAGCAGGAGGGAAUCUUCGGCAAUGGAGGGAAGUCUGAACGAGCAACGCCGCGGGAGUGAAGAAGGUUUUCGGAUCGUAAAGCUCUGUUGUAAGGGAAGAACGAGUGUGGGAGUGGAAAGUUCACACUGUGACGGUAUCUUACCAGAAAGGGACGGCUAACUACGUG